Molecule: ribosomal RNA, 468 nt
Filed under: uncultured bacterium
Lineage: Bacteria
Description: partial 16S ribosomal RNA
Rfam family: Bacterial small subunit ribosomal RNA
Source: RNAcentral
GACGAACGCUGGCGGCGUGCUUAACACAUGCAAGUCGAACGGAAAGGCCCUGCUUUUGUGGGGUGCUCGAGUGGCGAACGGGUGAGCAACACGUGAGUAACCUGCCCUUGACUUUGGGAUAACUUCAGGAAACUGGGGCUAAUACCGGAUAGGAGCUCCUGCUGCAUGGUGGGGGUUGGAAAGUUUCGGCGGUUGGGGAUGGACUCGCGGCUUAUCAGCUUGUUGGUGGGGUAGUGGCUUACCAAGGCUUUGACGGGUAGCCGGCCUGAGAGGGUGACCGGCCACAUUGGGACUGAGAUACGGCCCAGACUCCUACGGGAGGCAGCAGGGGGGAAUAUUGCACAAUGGGCGGAAGCCUGAUGCAGCAACGCCGCGUGCGGGAUGACGGCCUUCGGGUUGUAAACCGCUUUCGCCUGUGACGAAGCGUGAGUGACGGUAAUGAGUAAAGAAGCACCGGCUAACUACGUG